Molecule: ribosomal RNA, 332 nt
Filed under: uncultured Acidobacteriaceae bacterium
Lineage: Bacteria; Pseudomonadati; Acidobacteriota; Terriglobia; Terriglobales; Acidobacteriaceae
Description: bacterial SSU rRNA
Rfam family: Bacterial small subunit ribosomal RNA
Source: RNAcentral
CGCGUAGGCGGCAAUUCAAGUCAGCUGUGAAAUCUCCGGGCUUAACUCGGAACGGUCAGCUGAUACUGCUUUGCUAGAGUGCAGAAGGGGCAAUCGGAAUUCUUGGUGUAGCGGUGAAAUGCGUAGAUAUCAAGAGGAACACCUGAGGUGAAGACGGGUUGCUGGGCUGACACUGACGCUGAGGCGCGAAAGCUAGGGUAGCAAACGGGAUUAGAUACCCCGGUAGUCCUAGCCCUAAACGAUGAAUACUUGGUGUCUGGAGUUUUUAUCCUCCGGGUGCCGUCGCUAACGUUUUAAGUAUUCCGCCUGGGGAGUACGCACGCAAGUGUGAA